This 253-nucleotide ribosomal RNA is filed under the name uncultured bacterium. Its description in RNAcentral is "partial 16S ribosomal RNA". It matches the Rfam family "Bacterial small subunit ribosomal RNA", at positions 524 to 776 of the family's 1533-position model. RNAcentral also lists the same sequence under 1 other name. The record is from RNAcentral.
UACGGAGGAUCCGAGUGUUAUCCGGAUUUAUUGGGUUUAAAGGGUGCGCAGGCGGAAGAUUAAGUCGGCGGUGAAAUUUUGCAGCUCAACUGUAAAAGUGCCUUCGAAACUGGUUUUCUUGAGUGUAGAUGAAGUAGGCGGAAUUUGUGGUGUAGCGGUGAAAUGCUUAGAUAUCACAAAGAACUCCGAUUGCGCAGGCAGCUUACUAAACUACAACUGACGCUCAGGCACGAAGGCGUGGGUAUCGAACAGG